Molecule: ribosomal RNA, 468 nt
Filed under: uncultured bacterium
Lineage: Bacteria
Description: partial 16S ribosomal RNA
Rfam family: Bacterial small subunit ribosomal RNA
Source: RNAcentral
GACGAACGCUGGCGGCGUGCUUAACACAUGCAAGUCGAACGGAAAGGCCCUGCUUUUGUGGGGUGCUCGAGUGGCGAACGGGUGAGUAACACGUGAGUAACCUGCCCUUGACUUUGGGAUAACUUCAGGAAACUGGGGCUAAUACCGGAUAGGAGCUCCUGCUGCAUGGUGGGGGUUGGAAAGUUUCGGCGGUUGGGGAUGGACUCGCGGCUUAUCAGCUUGUUGGUGGGGUAGUGGCUUACCAAGGCUUUGACGGGUAGCCGGCCUGAGAGGGUGACCGGCCACAUUGGGACUGAGAUACGGCGCAGACUCCUACGGGAGGCAGCAGCGGGGAAUAUUGCACAAUGGGCGGAAGCCUGAUGCAGCAACGCCGCGUGCGGGAUGACGGCCUUCGGGUUGUAAACCGCUUUCGCCUGUGACGAAGCGUGAGUGACGGUAAUGGGUAAAGAAGCACCGGCUAACUACGUG